CAGCAAUCAUCCUGCCUGGGAAAAACUGUCGAAUGGCAAGAGAGAGUUUAAAUUACGGCUACAAAUGUUUUUGUGGAACACAAAGUAAACAGACAAAGAAAAAGCUGAUCCAUCACAAAAGUGUACAGAACAUAACAUGGUGCAAGGUUGGGAUUCACAGUUUCCCAGAGACUAUGGGUUGAGGAGGAAUUGGAAGUUUGUCGGCUUAGACCUGGUGUCAUUCCAUCAGUGUUAAACUUCCCGGCUCAUCUUGGAAGAGUACGUGCCAGAAAGACCACGACCAAGCAGCCUUGAGAUCUUAGGCAGCGUCUCCCUGAGGUCCCUCUCUAUCUCCCCACACAUCCACCAACCACUGGAACACAUCUCCAAAGUUCUGCAGGGCCAGCUCAGCUUCCCCUCAGAAGAAGUGCCGCCACCUGCCAGAUGAAGGAGCCUUUUGAGAGGCAGCUGGCAUCGUGAUUGGACUGUACUUUGGUCUGUUCCAAUCCAGCUUCAGCUCCAGAGACGGCAGGCGGGACGAGUCAACGGAGGCCUGGUGGACGAAGGCAUGCAGCUGAGUACAAUCCAGAAAACAACAGAGGAGGAGUGCAGUGGCCCAGGGCCAGAACAACCAGAGUAGCAUCGUAUGUCUCUUAGAAAACAUCAUAGUAUAGCCUUUGGUAUGAAAAAACGCCAUCAUAUACAUCGUAUAUUGUACAAAUAACAAGUCAAAGGAAAGAGACAUACAUUGUAGAAUUGUAGUAAUUGUGGGCUGACUGAUUUACUGAUUAUCAGUAUUUUAUUUUUUACUGAUUUACG
This is a long non-coding RNA of Amphiprion ocellaris (clown anemonefish), 798 nucleotides long. The record is from Ensembl. NCBI's taxonomy places the organism in Eukaryota, Metazoa, Chordata, Actinopteri, Pomacentridae.